CGCGUGAGGAACCUGCCUUGAAGAGGGGGACAACAGUUGGAAACGACUGCUAAUACCGCAUGAAGCAUAGGGGUCGCAUGAUCUUUAUGCCAAAGAUUUAUCGCUUCAAGAUGGCCUCGCGUCUGAUUAGCUAGUUGGCGGGGUAACGGCCCACCAAGGCGACGAUCAGUAGCCGGACUGAGAGGUUGAACGGCCACAUUGGGACUGAGAUACGGCCCAG
This 220-nucleotide ribosomal RNA is filed under the name uncultured bacterium. RNAcentral describes it as "partial 16S ribosomal RNA". It matches the Rfam family "Bacterial small subunit ribosomal RNA", at positions 114 to 334 of the family's 1533-position model. The record is from RNAcentral.